Molecule: unclassified non-coding RNA, 392 nt
Filed under: Hevea brasiliensis (rubber tree)
Lineage: Eukaryota; Viridiplantae; Streptophyta; Magnoliopsida; Malpighiales; Euphorbiaceae
Source: RNAcentral
CGGCGAACUUGCAGAAUCCUUUCUUGAUACAUUUAAUCAUUAUGUUGGCAGAAUCAAUCCCUGAUAGGUAAGCACCAUGAACAUAGCCAUUGUAAUGUUCGCUCGUAUGCUCGCCAGUGAAGUAGACCCUUCCCACGGGUGCCCUGAUCUGAUCAAACUCAUAUCUGUUAACCCCAAGUGGCCAAUUGGAGAAAGUGCCCUUGUAGAACCUAUCAGACCACCAUCUAGGGACAAGUAUGUCUGUCGCAUCGGGUAUGUUCUUUCCAAACAUUUUACGCAGAACUUCCAUGGCUUCAGCUUUAGUCUCAUCAUUUGAUUGUUGUUCUAUUCUUCGUGAUUCCUCAUCAGUGACGGUAACCAGUAGCACAUGUGCUCCUGGGUAUUGCUUUUCG